AUGGGUGAUCGUGCGUGGAUGUACACUGGCCACCCUAGUCCGGACGGCAUGACCGUUGAAUGGGUGAUGAAGACCAAUGAAUUUGUGGAGGCAGCAUUUGCUAGUGGCAAGAGAAAAAGUUGGUGCCCCUGCUUGAAGUGCAAGAACGAUAUAGAACAGUCGAAGAAGAUGAUGGGUAAACACCUACAGAAGCACGGGCUUAAGACUGGGUAUACUCAGUGGACCUUUCAUGGCGAGCCUGAAUGUAGCAGAGAGGAGGUGGUUCGUCGGCGCACCGAUGACAAUGGUACCGGGAUCGCUGACAUGGUAGCUGACUUCAACGAUGCACGUGAAGAGGGAUCAGAGGAAGAACCGGAGGAGUCCGCGAGGGCUUACCUAGAAAUGCUGAAUUCGUCACAACAACCUCUUCACGAGUACACGAUACAGUGUUAG
This 432-nucleotide ribosomal RNA is filed under the name Triticum aestivum (bread wheat). RNAcentral's name for it is "partial small subunit ribosomal RNA". The record is from RNAcentral. Lineage: Eukaryota; Viridiplantae; Streptophyta; Magnoliopsida; Poales; Poaceae.